AGUUUUCGUUUUUUGGGGGGGGGGCGACUUGGAGACAAUUAACUUCAUGAUGAGAGAACGAACCUGGGUUUAGGAUUCAAAGACAAGGUUGCUGCCACACCCCUCCCCCCUCUGUGUCCCAUUGGCUGCUGUUCCCCAGGGGGUGGGACUCCGUAUGGGUUAAGAGCUGUGAGGCCAGACUGAGAGGACAGUGAAGCCUGACACACUCCACCCACCGCACAGGUGGCUAGAGAUCAGAGGUCGUAGCUAGAGGUCAUGGCGGGCCUGAGGAGGAAGCUGAAGUUUCUGGUGACAUUGAUGACGGUCAAUCUCUUCAUCUUCAUCCUAGUGUUCCACGGAGGAGGAGGAGGACAGGACAAGGGACACAACAAGGUGAGAGGGGACAGGACAAGGGACACAACAAGGUGAGAGGGGACAG
Molecule: long non-coding RNA, 418 nt
Organism: Oncorhynchus nerka (sockeye salmon)
Lineage: Eukaryota; Metazoa; Chordata; Actinopteri; Salmoniformes; Salmonidae
Exons: 3
Source: RefSeq, a predicted model, not a curated record